Long non-coding RNA from Phyllostomus hastatus (greater spear-nosed bat), 1864 nucleotides. RefSeq lists it as uncharacterized. NCBI's taxonomy places the organism in Eukaryota, Metazoa, Chordata, Mammalia, Chiroptera, Phyllostomidae. The transcript has 2 exons. The record is from RefSeq and is a predicted model, not a curated record.
CGCACCCACCAAGGACAAGGAAAGUCUAAGCACUAAGGACAUAGUACCGACAAAACAGUUCCAGCAUGUGUCCUGGCAAAACCUGUCCUGUGAUGAGGGGCAAGUGCCAGUGCCCCUCUGGAAGAGACGGGAGGCACAGGGUGGACGGACACCCAGGCCCCCCCACCCACUGAUCCUCCUGCCUUUCGGCAUCACCACAGCACAGAGGCCGGUGCCACUGCUCUCAGCGGCCAGCACCGGUCGUGAUAAGCCUCCUGAGGAAUAUCUCAAGGUGAAUUUCAAGUGCAGUGACACAGAGUCAUCUUCUUCUUCAAUAUUUUUGUCCACAUGCCUGGCUCCUUCCACCCAGGUGAACAGGGCUGAACAUUGUAGAAGCAAAGUUUGUUUCCUUUACCUCACAUUCUUGAGCCUCGAGGGUUACUUUCUCCCCAGGUCCCAUCCUAUCCCUUCAGUCUUCUUGAAUCAAAAGCACUGUCCCCUACAUAAAAAUGAUCCCUUAUUGGUUACAUCAAAACAAUAAAGUCCUCAAAAGCACAGGGUCAAAAGUCUCUCCCUUCCUCCAGCACUGCACCCCAGCCUCCAAACCUGAUAAAAAGUUAGAAUUUUUUUACUCUUAUUUUCCACUUGAAAUCUGUACUGGGGCGAAACCUGUUCUCCUCUGUACGACCUUAGGCUUACUUUCUCCUAGCCACAUUUUCCUAGAAACAUAUUGGGUUAAGAUAAAUGUGGAAUGUCAACUGUGAUAUCACAUAAUAUUAUUUAUUGUAAAAAUGGUCCUUGACUGGUGAACUACGUCUGACUAGAAAGCUGGUGGUAGAAUAUAAAUACUUGUUAGGAAACAGGGGAUUUGGCCUCCCUGUGUGCAGUGUAAGUCUUGCGACUGAGUAUACCCCUUGGAGGAACCUAGAAAAUAAAUUCAUGGGUUAUUGUGUGCUACUGGUAUCUAAGUUAGAGUGUUUUUGCACUUACCUCUACAGUCAUGUUCCCUGACAACUAAGCUGUUAUGGUUGGAAGGCAAAAAAUGGCUCCUGGACUGGUAUGAGGGCUCCUACUGACACUAUCCACUAGAAUGCUAUUUUCUGCAAAGCCAAGUACAGCUGAUGCCAGAGUAUGGACUAGUGGGUCCUGUGUGCAAGACUGUCAAUCUGAACUCAAGGACACUGCUAGUAAUGUUGAGUGAGCACUGCAACAGAGACGAAAGGAGUCUGCCACCUAUUCAGACCAAUCUCCUACUAUAGUUUCUGGCUAACUAUAUCAACAAACUUACUUGGCAUCCUCCAAUUCAAUGUUUCCAUCUCCGACUCCACCAUAUACCCUCAUUCCCACCAAAGCCUCUUUGAAGAGUUGGGGAAUAACAUGGAAUCCUACCUCUGAAAUUGGUGUAGUUGCCUGGGCUUAACUUUUUUACUAAGGAGAACCUGGCAGUGUUUCAAGACCUUUGUAAGAACAGGACAGACAGAGGGGUCAGUCCAUAAAAGAAAAGCGGGGGUGCCCCACCACCUUUCUCCCUUAGGUAGUGGUGCCUGUCAGAGAUUCUGCAGAAGCAAAGCUGAGAGAGGGGAAGCUGAAGUAUAUGCACUGGAAGUUCCUUGGCUUUGAGAUCUUAUCUACCCUAUGCAUGUUUCAAAAAAGGGCACCUGCUACUGACGUUCCACUUACCUGGACUGGCACAUGGUCUGGGACGGGAGGUAGUAUGAAAGAGGGGUUAGGAUCAUGGGCUUUCUGUGGAGUCAGCAAAUCUGGGGAUAAGUCCUGGUCCCAUCAUUUUGAGCUAUAUGAACUUAGAUAAGUUACUCAAUGUUUUUAAGCCUCCGUUUGCUCAUCUGUAUAAUUAGUAUUAAACUGAAGUGGUAAUACUGAUAAA